GGGGUUGUGGCUCAACGGCAGAGCACUCACCUAGCAUGUGUGAGGCCCUGGGUUUGAUCCUCAGCCCCA
This 69-nucleotide transfer RNA is filed under the name Urocitellus parryii (Arctic ground squirrel). Its description in RNAcentral is "Spermophilus parryii (Arctic ground squirrel) tRNA". It matches the Rfam family "tRNA". Rfam says of the family: Transfer RNA (tRNA) molecules are approximately 80 nucleotides in length. Their secondary structure includes four short double-helical elements and three loops (D, anti-codon, and T loops). The record is from Rfam by way of RNAcentral. Lineage: Eukaryota; Metazoa; Chordata; Mammalia; Rodentia; Sciuridae. RNAcentral also lists the same sequence under 1 other name.